RNAcentral lists this long non-coding RNA (290 nucleotides) under Homo sapiens (human). Its description in RNAcentral is "HSALNT0373914". Lineage: Eukaryota; Metazoa; Chordata; Mammalia; Primates; Hominidae. The record is from RNAcentral.
GGAGUGUCCAUAACAUUAUAAGCAAGACAUGCAAGAGAAGAGACUGAGAGAGGAGAAUAAAUUGUGGAAAUCAGUGAAAAGUCCAAAAUACUGGCUCACCUCUCAUGUUUACAUACAUCAUGAGUGGCAUCAAGUCAUAUCCUUGACUUUAGGAUAUCUGAACCUUUGGAAAUUGUAACUAGAAGUCUUAAAACAUUAGCUACGUAUUGAUUCUCUCACCUUCAGAAAAAUGGAAUGUCCUCUUUCAUAAGAGGUGGAGUUUUCCCAUGUUGCCCAUGCUGGUCUGGAAC